RNAcentral lists this unclassified non-coding RNA (377 nucleotides) under uncultured bacterium. RNAcentral's name for it is "contains 16S-23S intergenic spacer region". The record is from RNAcentral.
UCGCGGCUUAUCACCGGCAGUCCCUCUAGAGUGCCCAACUAAAUGAUGGCAACUAGAGGCGAGGGUUGCGCUCGUUGCGGGACUUAACCCAACAUUUCACAACACGAGCUGACGACAGCCAUGCACCACCUGUGAAUCACCCUCGAAGGCGACUACUUUUCGGUAGCUUGCAGAUCCAUGUCAAGCCCUGGUAAGGUUCUUCGCGUUGCAUCGAAUUAAACCACAUGCUCCACCGCUUGUGCGGGUCCCCGUCAAUUCCUUUGAGUUUCACACUUGCGUGCGUACUCCCCAGGCGGAAUGCUUAAAGCGCUAGCGACGGCACCCGGGGACUUUAUUACCCCGGACACCAAGCAUUCAUCGUUUAAGGCCAGGACUAC